UGGAGAAUAUCAGUGCAAUUCUCCUUUGGCAGGAGGGUGUUCGCUAGUAUACUGCAACCGUUUACUGCCAAAGGAGAAUUGCCCUGUUAUUCAACU
Non-coding RNA from Ricinus communis (castor bean), 96 nucleotides. Lineage: Eukaryota; Viridiplantae; Streptophyta; Magnoliopsida; Malpighiales; Euphorbiaceae. The record is from Rfam.